This 1466-nucleotide ribosomal RNA is filed under the name uncultured Bordetella sp. RNAcentral's name for it is "partial 16S-23S ribosomal RNA intergenic spacer". It matches the Rfam family "Bacterial small subunit ribosomal RNA". The record is from RNAcentral. Lineage: Bacteria; Pseudomonadati; Pseudomonadota; Betaproteobacteria; Burkholderiales; Alcaligenaceae.
CUGAUCAUGGCUCAGAUUGAACGCUGGCGGGAUGCUUUACAUGCAAGUCGAACGGCAGCACGGACUUCGGUCUGGUGGCGAGUGGCGAACGGGAGUAAUGCAUCUGGAACGCCUAGUAGCGGGGAUAACUACGCGAAAGGUGCAGCUAAUACCGGCAUGCCUCCUUCGGGGGAAAGGGGACCUUCGGGCUUCAAAAUUAUUAUAGGGAGCGGCCGAUACGGAUUAGCUGAAGUUGGUGGCAACGGCUCACCACAUGGAUUUUGAUCUCGUAGCUGGUUUCCGAGAGGACGACCAGCCACACUGGGACUGAGAUACGGCCCGUAUCUACGGGAGGCAGCAGUGGGGAAUUCUUGACAAUGGGGAAACUGAUCCAGCCAUCCCGCGUGUGCGAUGAAGGCCUUCGGGUUGUAAAGAAUUUUUGGCAGGAAAGAAACGGCACGGGAUAAUACCCCGUGCAACUGACGGCAUCGCGAGAAUAAGCACCGGCUAACUACGCGCCAGCAGCCGCGGUAAUACGUAGGUGCAAGCGUUAAUCGGAAUUACUGGCGUAAAGGUGCGCAGGUAUGUCUGGAAAGAAAGAUGUGAAAUCCCGUAUUUAACUUUGGAACUGCAUUUAAAUUCAUCGAGCUAGAGUGUGUCAGAGGGAGGUGGAAUUCCGCGUGUAGCAGUGAAAUGCGUAGAUAUGCGGAGGAACGCCGAUGGCGAAGGCAGCCUCCUGGGAUAACACUGACGCUCAUGCACGAAAGCGUGGGGAGCAAACAGGAUUAGAUACCUCUGGUAGUCCAUACGCCCAAACGAUGUCAACUAUUGCUGGGCCUUCGGCCUGGCAGCGCAGCCAACGUGGGUAUAGCUGGACCGCCCGGGAGUACGGUCGCAAGAUAAAGAUUAAACUAAAGGAAUUGACGGGGACCCGCGUCAUGGGUGGAUGAUGUGGAUUAAUCGAUGCACCAAAAACCUUACCUACCUUGACAUGUCUGGAAUCCCGAAGAGAUUUGGGAGUGCUCGCAAGAGAACCGGAACACAGGUGCUGCAUGGCUGUCGUCAGUUCGUGUCGUGAGAUGUUGGGUUAAGUCCCGCAACGAGUGCAACCCUUGUCAUUAGUUGCUACGAAAGGGCACUCUAAUGAGACUGCCGGUGACAAACCGAGAAGGUGAUGAUGUCAAGUCCUCAUGGCCCUUAUGGGUAGGUCACACGUCAUACAAUGGUCGGGACAGAGUGGUCGCCAACCCGCGAGGGAGCCAAUCCCAGAAACCCGAUCGUAGUCCGGAUCGCAGUCUGCAACUCGACUGCGUGAAGUCGGAAUCGCUAGUAAUCGCGGAUCAGCAUGUCGCGGUGAAUACGUUCCCGGGUCUUGUACACACCGCCCGUCACACCAUGGAGUGGGUUUUACCAGGAAGUGAGUUAGCCUAACCGUAAGGAGGGCGAUUACCACGGUAGGAUUCAUGAUCGUAGCCGUAACAAGGCAG